Molecule: ribosomal RNA, 503 nt
Filed under: uncultured bacterium
Lineage: Bacteria
Description: partial 16S ribosomal RNA
Rfam family: Bacterial small subunit ribosomal RNA
Source: RNAcentral
AACGAACGCUGGCGGCGUGCCUAACACAUGCAAGUCGAACGAGAAAGGGGCUUCGGCUCCGAGUAAAGUGGCGCACGGAUGAGUAACACGUGGGUAACCUGCCUCUAAGAUUGGGAUAACUCGUCGAAAGAUGAGCUAAUACCGAAUAAGACCACAGUUCCCGCGGGAACAGGGGUCAAAGGUAGCCUCUGCUUGCAAGCUAUCACUUAGAGAUGGGCCUGCGCACCAUUAGCUAGUUGGUAGGGUAACGGCCUACCAAGGCAAAGAUGGUUAGCUGGUCGGAGAGGAUGAUCAGCCACACUGGAACUGAGACACGGUCCAGACUCCUACGGGAGGCAGCAGUGGGGAAUAUUGCGCAAUGGGCGAAAGCUUGACGCAGCAACGCCGCGUGAGUGAUGAAGGCCUUCGGGUCGUAAAGCUCUGUCGGGAGGAACGAAUGCUCCUGAGGUUAACAGCCUCGGGAGGUGACGGUACCUUCAAAGGAAGCACCGGCUAACUCUGUG